CSAACGGUGAAGGCGGAGCUUGCUCUGCUGGAUCAGUGGCGAACGGGUGAGUAACACGUGAGCAAUCUGCCCCUGACUCUGGGAUAAGCGCUGGAAACGGCGYCUAAUACUGGAUACGAGCUGCGAAGGCAUCUUCAGCAGCUGGAAAGAAUUUCGGUCAGGGAUGAGCUCGCGGCCUAUCAGCUUGUUGGUGAGGUAAYGGCUCACCAAGGCGUCGACGGGUAGCCGGCCUGAGAGGGUGACCGGCCACACUGGGACUGAGACACGGCCCAGACUCCUACGGGAGGCAGCAGUGGGGAAUAUUGCACAAUGGGCGAAAGCCUGAUGCAGCAAMGCCGCGUGAGGGACGACGGCCUUCGGGUUGUAAACCUCUUUUAGCAGGGAAGAAGCGAAAGUGACGGUACCUGCAGAMAA
RNAcentral lists this ribosomal RNA (414 nucleotides) under Microbacterium sp. SC29. Its description in RNAcentral is "bacterial SSU rRNA". It matches the Rfam family "Bacterial small subunit ribosomal RNA", at positions 63 to 488 of the family's 1533-position model. Lineage: Bacteria; Bacillati; Actinomycetota; Actinomycetes; Micrococcales; Microbacteriaceae. The record is from RNAcentral.